GAUGAUGCAUUGACUGCGCGAAACAAUGGGGCACAAGGAAUUGGAUUAUGCCGGACAGAGCACAUGGUACGUCCGAUCCGACAUAGUUUAGCAGGCUAGGGAUACUUGGACAUUUUACUCUUCCUUUAGUUUCUUUGUCCUAGACAAGAAAAACAGUUUCAUGUUUUUUUCUCCCCCCUGUACUUGGGGCAGUUCUUUGCUUCAGACGAGAGGAUUAAGGCUGUCAGGCAGAUGAUUAUGGCUCCCACGCUUGAGCUGAGGCAGCAGGCGCUCGACCGUCUCUUGCCGUAUCAGAGGUCUGACUUCGAAGGCAUUUUCCGUGCUAUGGAUGGUAAGUGAAAAACCACAAUGCAUACAUGUUACAUGCAGGACUGCAUGGCCUGAACAUUCUCUUGGUAUCUUGCGUUUCAGGACUCCCGGUGACCAUCCGACUCCUGGACCCUCCCCUCCACGAGUUCCUUCCAGAAGGGAACAUCGAGGACAUUGUAAGUGAAUUAUGUGCUGAGACGGGAGCCAACCAGGAGGAUGCCCUCGCGCGAAUUGAAAAGCUUUCAGAAGUAAACCCGAUGCUUGGCUUCCGUGGGUGCAGGUUGGAAUUCUGCUACUAUAUUCACAGCAAAAAAAAGAAAAAAAAUCACUGGUGAUGCCUGAUUGACUAAUUUUGGAACUGCCGAAAUUUCCAGGCUUGGUAUAUCGUACCCUGAAUUGACAGAGAUGCAAGCCCGGGCCAUUUUUGAAGCUGCUAUAGCAAUGACCAACCAGGGUGUUCAAGUGUUCCCAGAGAUAAUGGUUCCUCUUGUUGGAACACCACAGGCAUGUGUCUUUUUACUUUUUAUAUAUCAAUGUAUGUACACAUACUGUCUCUACAGUUCAAAAAAAGUGACCAAAUCCAUUUGAUGCCAAAACCGCACAAACAAACAGCUAAUUAUAAUAGCUGACGUUUGGUAUUUCCAGGAACUGGGGCAUCAAGUGACUCUUAUCCGCCAAGUUGCUGAGAAAGUGUUCGCCAAUGUGGGCAAGACUAUCGGGUACAAAGUUGGAACAAUGAUUGAGAUCCCCAGGGCAGCUCUGGUGGCUGAUGAGGUAGGGAAAACCACCAAGUUCAGAAUCGCCCAGAACUUUGCGAACAAGUUUGUUUAUCUGUGCAUUCCUACGCUGGUCUGAAAUCUGUGGCUGUUGUUGUUGUUUUUUUGGUUUCGUCAACCUGGCAGAUAGCGGAGCAGGCUGAAUUCUUCUCCUUCGGAACGAACGACCUGACGCAGAUGACCUUUGGGUACAGCAGGGAUGAUGUGGGAAAGUUCAUUCCCGUCUAUCUUGCUCAGGGCAUCCUCCAACAUGACCCCUUCGAGGUAACUGUUGCAACUCUGCCUGCCACCCUCGCAUGUCGCAUCUGAUGUGACUGAGCAUCUCAUGUCGCGAUCACCUUUCUUUUGGUUGCCCGUAAACCUACCAGGUCCUGGACCAGAGGGGAGUGGGCGAGCUGGUGAAGUUUGCUACAGAGAGGGGCCGCAAAGCUAGGCCUAACUUGAAGGUUGGUUUUGGGACACUGCUUCGUACGUCUCCUUACUCCUUAGAAAACCACGGUUUGAUUGUUGUUUGGUGUUGGUGUGCAAACAGGUGGGCAUUUGUGGAGAACACGGUGGAGAGCCUUCGUCUGUGGCCUUCUUCGCGAAGGCUGGGCUGGAUUACGUUUCUUGCUCCCCUUUCAGGUCGGUUGAGUCACUGAUAAACUCGUGAUCGAAUAUCCAAUAAGCGUAUCCUCUUAUGUUAACGGUAGCAAAAAUGUUCACUGUUUUCUUUGAAUGCUUUCUGCAGGGUUCCGAUUGCUAGGCUAGCUGCAGCUCAGGUGCUUGUCUGAGGCUGCCUCCUCGUUGGCAACCGGAUUGCCUGCUGCUGGUGGAUGUGGUGAUCAACAGUAUUAUUACAGAGCCAUGCUAUGUGAACAUUACUAGUAGCAGUGCUCAUAAAAGCUACAAUCCCAUCUCCCUUUUUUUUCCAGUCAUGUAAAACUUCCAAACUGCUCCAUGGUUCAAAACUCUGUUCUUCAAUACAUCAUCAAUUAUCGAUUAUAUACGUGGCAAGGUUUUUUCUUUGUUUGCUUUUUUCUUUUCUUUCUGGCAUGUGUUUUUUUGGUUUUCUUGGUGUGUGUGUGAGGUGUGCAUGUCGCUGUUGAGGCCCUUGCUGCACAGACCACCUCAAACUUUAAGCCUCGAAAAAGCUGGUACUAUUUUUUUAGAACUCUGGAGUCUGGUCAAUAUGCAAUUGACUGGUUUGCUUCUGAGGCUCUUCUUGCAUUCAUGCCUUUACGGCCACUCUUUGGCACCUGUAACACAGGUAAAAAAAAUGUUAAAAGAUGGUUCAGGAACACAGCAGUUUUCAAGCCAGGGAAACUGUACUGUACAGAAACCAAGAGAUCGUUCGACAUACCUGUGCCCGCACAUCUACCUAACAUUCUCGAGGACCAUUGCCGAUCAAAGGCCCACACAUCGUCUUCUUGUUCCGGCAGUUGAUAAGAACCUAGUACAUAAGAGACAGUACAUCAUCAAAAUAAGGAGCAGGUGAAAAGCACCAUCUGCAGUAUGCAGUAUGCAACCUGGCACAUGGCAUACUAUGUGAUACUGUACAUGAGUACAGGAAAGGAUAGCUUAUUACAAUAUCGGUGAGUUACGACACACAAAUUAUAGACAUUUGUCAGGAUAAAGAAGUUAUGCCGUUUUGUUGCGCAGUGUCCCACGCCAUGAUUAAUCCAAACCACUGAUUGACUCAUUUUUUUCGGGGAUGACGGUGAAACGAAGCCUUAGCCUUAAUGGAUGGUUUUAUGGUAAUAGUAGUACCAAACUGCGAUGAUGAAUUUAUGGUGAUUAAUCCAAACCACUGAUUGACUCAUCAUCAUUUAGCAUGUCUAUAGUCUAUUAUUAUACUUCUAAUAAGAGCAAGUAUAAUAAAAUGCCACAUCAAAUUUAUGGUGAUAUGAAAAAGGAGAAUUAGAGAAGAGAAACAAACUGUUCACUAGUAUGCAACUAAAUACGAACUCUAAGACACUUUAUGAGAGUAAGAGAUGAAUUAAAUAUUAAACGUAUAACUUGUGUCAUGAGAGAGUUAUGAUAUAACUAGACUUUAUUGGUCUAUAUGUGGUAUGAUAAUGUCAUAAAGCCCACUAUAAACUAAGAGUAUAUUAUUAAUCUUGCUACGGUAAAUGAUUGGUUGCUUAUAUUGGCUCUCUUGGCCUGACUCUGCUCAUGCAAAAAGCGCCCUUCAGCAUGGCUCUCGAGAUGGGCCGCUAGAUACGAGCAAUUACCAAACAAUAAAAUUGUUAGUCCGUAAUUAGUUUAUUUAUUAAUUGAUUAAUAUAUUUCAAACACUAUUAACAAAUAACAAGAUAAAUUAUGAGCAAUAAAAUGGCUAUAAAUAAUAAACCUGGUGGUCAUGUUUAUUUACUUAAUUUAUCUUAUACAAUAAUGUAACCAAACAUUAUCUCCACUUGGCCAAACUAACUAUAUACAACUAUGUAAGUAAUUGCUUAUCUUUUUUCUUCCUCCUUGCUUACUAAAAGUAUCUAGGUCCCUUGUUGGUUUUAGUGAUUAAUGACAACAUAAGAUUAUAUGUGUCGGGGACCAUAAUUAGGGGUAUCCCCAAGACUCCUAAAUCUCAGCUGGUAACCGCAUCAGCCCAAGACUCCUAAAUCUCAGCUGGUAACCCCAUCAGCACAAAGUUGCAAAGGCCUGAUGAGUACGAUUAAGUCAAGGCUCGGUCCACUCGAGGGACAUGAUCUCGCCUCGCCCGAGCCCAGCCUCGGGCAAGGGCAGCCGACCCCGGAGGAUUCACGUCUCGCCCGAGGACCCCCUCAAGCGACGGACACACCUUCGGCUCGCCCGAGGCCCAGUCUUCAACGAGAAGCAACUUUGACCAGAUCGCCACGACAACCGACCGUAUCGCAGGAGCAUUUAAUGCAAAGGUGGCCUGACACCUUAUCCUGACGCACGCCCUUCAGUCGACUGAGUCGAAGUGACCGCAGUCACUUCGCCGCUCCACUGACCAGUCUGACAAAAGACAGCGCCGCCCGCAUCGCUCCGACUGCAGUGCCACUCGACAGAGUGAGGCUGACAGCGGCCAAGUCCGGCCUCGGGCGCCAUAGGAAGCUCCGCCUCGCCCGACUCAGGGCUCGGACUCGGGCUCGGCCCCGGAAGACGACGAACUCCGCCUCGCCCGACCUAGGGCUCGGACUCGGGCUCGGCCCCGGAAGACGACGAACUCCGCCUCGCCAGACCCAGGGCUCGGACUCGGGCUCGGCCCCGGAAGACGACGAACUCCGCCUCGCCCGACCCAGGGCUCAGACUCGGGCUCGGCCCCGGAAGACGACGAACUCCGCCUCGCCCGACCCCAGGGCUCGGACUCGACCUCGGCCCCAGCCAACGGUCUCCGUCUCGCCCGACCCAAGGGCUCGGACUCGACCUCGACCUCAGAAGACGGACUCGACCUCGACCUCGGAGGAGCCUCCGUCUCGCCCUACCCAGGGCUCGGACCGACCACGUCACAGGAGGGGCCAUCAUUACCCUACCCCUAGCUAGCUCUGGCUACGGGGAACAAGACCGGCAUCUCAUCUGGCUCGCGCCGGUAAAACAAAUAAUGAUGGCGCCCCGCGUGCUCCAUGACGACGGCGGCUCUCAGUCCCCUUACGGAAGCAAGGAAACGUCAGCAAGGACUCGACAGCCCCGACAGCUGUCCUUCCGCAAGGCUCCAGCGCUCCUCCGACGGCCACGACAUCACACGAACAGGGUGCCAAAACCUCUCCGGCUGCCACGACGGCAUGUACUUAGGGCACUAGCUCUUCUAUGCUAGACACGUCAGCACACUGCUACACCUUCCAUUGUACACCUGGACCCUCUCCUUACGUCUAUAAAAGGAAGGUCCAGGGCCCUCUUACAGAGGGUGGGCCGCGCGGGGAAGGACGGGACGGCGCGCGCGUAAGCCUCUCGCUCCCUCCCGCGCGGACGCUUGUAACCCCCUACUGCAAGCGCACCCGACCUGGGCGCGGGACAAACACGAAGGCCGUGGGUUUCCCCUUUUACGCCUGUCUCCCUCCGACUUUUCCCCCCUUCGCGCUCCGUCUCGCGCCGACCCAUCUGGGCUGGGGCACGCGGUGACAAUUUACUCGUCGGUCCAGGGACCCCCCGGGGUCGAAACGCCGACAGUUGGCGCGCCAGGUAGGGGCCUGCUGCGUGUUGACGAACAGCUUCCCGUCAAGCUCCAGAUGGGUAGUCUCCAGCAACCUUUCCAGCCCGGGAUGGUGCUCCGUUUCGGGAGUCUUGAGUUCAUGUCCCUCGACGGCAGCUACGACAUGAUACUCCUUCCCACGCCGCGCGACAGCGACAAUGGUGGCCGACAACCCGCCCACCGGCGGCGGAAUCGACGACGUCUUCCCCACGUGGCGGAAGAACAACAUUCGGGUUUGUCCCGUCGCCUCCCCCACCGACGGAGGAGGAGGCGGGGCAACCAAGGCCAAGCAGGAGGCGGCACCUCGUCGGCUGUCGAGCGAGUCGACGGCGCCGGUGCCCCAACGGGGGACACGUCGGGCAUCGACUUCGCGUCUGAGACGAAGACGAGCACCGUUUC
RNAcentral lists this long non-coding RNA (5613 nucleotides) under Zea mays. Its description in RNAcentral is "long non-coding RNA (ZMAY_LNC004010)". Lineage: Eukaryota; Viridiplantae; Streptophyta; Magnoliopsida; Poales; Poaceae. The record is from RNAcentral.